Molecule: ribosomal RNA, 253 nt
Filed under: uncultured bacterium
Lineage: Bacteria
Description: partial 16S ribosomal RNA
Rfam family: Bacterial small subunit ribosomal RNA
Source: RNAcentral
GACGUAGGGCGCGAGCGUUGUCCGGAUUUAUUGGGCGUAAAGAGCUCGUAGGCGGUUUGUCGCGUCGACUGUGAAAACUGGGGGCUUAACUCUCAGCUUGCAGUUGAUACGGGCGGACUUGAGUUCGGUAGGGGAGACUGGAAUUCCUGGUGUAGCGGUGAAAUGCGCAGAUAUCAGGAGGAACACCGGUGGCGAAGGCGGGUCUCUGGGCCGAAACUGACGCUGAGGAGCGAAAGCGUGGGGAGCAAACAGG